Molecule: ribosomal RNA, 497 nt
Filed under: uncultured bacterium
Lineage: Bacteria
Description: partial 16S ribosomal RNA
Rfam family: Bacterial small subunit ribosomal RNA
Source: RNAcentral
GAUGAACGCUGUCGGCGUGCCUAAUACAUGCAAGUCGAGCGAACAGACGAGGAGCUUGCUCCUCUGACGUUAGCGGCGGACGGGUGAGUAACACGUGGAUAACCUACCUAUAAGACUGGGAUAACUUCGGGAAACCGGAGCUAAUACCGGAUAAUAUCUUGAACCGCAUGGUUCAAUAGUGAAAGACGGUUUUGCUGUCACUUAUAGAUGGAUCCGCGCCGCAUUAGCUAGUUGGUAAGGUAACGGCUUACCAAGGCGACGAUGCGUAGCCGACCUGAGAGGGUGAGCGGACACACUGGAACUGAGACACGGUCCAGACUCAUACGGGAGGCAGCAGUAGGGAAUCUUCAGCAAUGGGAGAAAGCCUGACGGAGCAACGCCGCGAGAGUGAUGAAGGUCUUCGGAUCGUAAAACUCUGUUAUAAGGGAAGAACAAAGGUGGAAGUAACUAGGCACAACUUGACGGAACCUAAUCAGAAAGCCAAGGCUAACUGCAUG